RNAcentral lists this long non-coding RNA (2742 nucleotides) under Anas zonorhyncha (Eastern spot-billed duck). Its description in RNAcentral is "lncRNA (ENSAZOG00000019137.1)". Lineage: Eukaryota; Metazoa; Chordata; Aves; Anseriformes; Anatidae. The record is from RNAcentral.
GGUCCCCAGUCCUGGUCCCCAGUCCUGGUCCCCAGUCCUGGUCCCCAGUCCUGGUCCCCAGUCCUGGUCCCCAGUCCUGGUCCCCAGUCCUGGGCCCCAGGCCUUGGCCCCCGUCCACGUCCCCAAUCCCCGGGCCCCGCCCCGCCCCCCCCCCCCCCUCCCCGCACCGGCGCAGUGCCGGAGGCGCCCGGGAUCAGGGUGGGGAGGGGGGGGCAGGAGGGGUCCCAGCACCAUUGGGGACCGCACCCGCUUGGAGGGGGUGGGGGCAGCACCCAGGGGUGCCCCGGAGGCCCCCGCCAAGGCAGCGGGGCUGGGUGUUGAGGGGGGGCCACGGGGCACCAGCCCAAGGUGACCCCGAGCCUGGCUCCCCCCGGGCACGUGAGCGGCCGCCGCCGCGCGCCCGAAAUAGCCCCGGGUGCUGGGGGGGCGCGGGGCACCCAGCCUGGCGUGGGGCACCCAGCCCGGGAAGGGGACGGUCCCCACGGUGUCCCCACCACCGGGAGCUGGAAAAGGGGGCGCUGAGCACCCAAACCGUGCCCGGCGAUGCCACCACCGUGCCACCACCACCGUGCCGGGGACCCACGGAGCCACGGUGCGCCCCACCGGGCACCCUGCCCGUGCCCGCCUUCGCCCUCCCCGCAACGCCCGUCGCUCCUCCUGCUCCUCGGGGAGAGGAUCCCGGUGCCCGGCUCCGCCUGUCGGGCGUUCGACAACACAGCCCCGAGCCCCACGGCUGCACGGCUCCGUGGCUUGGGGGGGGGCACCAGGGAGGGGGGGUCCCGGAGCUGCCGUCCUGUCCGUCCGCCCGCCCGCAGCUGCUCCAGGCUUUGCCGCCAGCCGCAGCUCGCUUGCCCCGGGAAAGUGCGUGGCGAGGCGGGGAGGGGGCCGCUUCCUGGUGCCGCGGCCCCCCCCAGGAAGGGACGGGGACGGGGAGGUGCGCCCGCCGCCACGCAGCACCCCACGCCUGCAAGGGUGGGCGGGGGGUCCGCGGGGGGGGACACCCGACCCCCUCCCUGGGGUUCCAAGGGGUGAGCGGGGAGGGGGGGGGCUUUGGCACGAAUCCGGCCCCGCACCGGGGCUGUGGGGGCAGCCAGCACCCCGACACCACACCGGGCACCCCAGGGCUGUGCCCCCCAGCCCCCCCGCAUCCACACCCCACGCUGCGUGCAGGGCGGCAGCGCCGUGGCUCUGCAAAGGUCAGCGCAGCAGUGAGGGGGGGGCGAGGGAGCGUCAGGCUGCGCCCCCACCCCAGCAGCACCGCGCACCCGCCCAGGGACCCCCGGCACCAGCAGUGUUUGGGGGGGGGGCACCCCGAUGGGAGCAGCAGGGGGGCACGGGCAGCUGCACACCGACAGCAGGGGGGGCGCCGAACCCUUCCAGCGCGCCCCCACCCUGCGCCAAGACCCCCGGGGGGGGGGGGGGGAGGGAUCGUGGCGUCGAGCGAGUGAGCGAGCGGGAGAAGCCUUCCCCAAACUGGUUCCACCGGGGCCUGCCGUGCCGCACGGCUGCGCCGCCACCGGCCCCCGCCCCGCGCCGAGCCGCGGGGGUCCCCGGCACGCAGGGAGGCCACGGGGCGGGCGGCGCCAGGGCUGGCACCGGCGGAGGUCAAGCGGGGUGAGGCNNNNNNNNNNNNNNNNNNNNNNNNNNNNNNNNNNNNNNNNNNNNNNNNNNNNNNNNNNNNNNNNNNNNNNNNNNNNNNNNNNNNNNNNNNNNNNNNNNNNNNNNNNNNNNNNGCUGCCUGGCACGCGCCCGGCACGGCUCGGCGCGGCACAGCUGGCGGCGAGGUCGUGCCGGAGGCCCGAGCGAGCGCCGGCUCGGCUCGGCCGCCCGGGGUGACCUUGGCCGCGGUGCCCGGCUGCCCUGCCUCAGUUUCCCCCCAGAGCACCGGGGGCUGCACCGGAGCCGGGCCCGGCACCGUGGCACACGCCCCGGUGGUGGCACCGUGGCCAGAGGUCCCACCACCACGCUUCUGCUCAGGUUGGGGGGGACGAGGCCGCUUGCCCCCCCCUCUCUCCUCUCCGAAUCGGGAGGCGGCGUGCCCGGGGAGGCCGGGGCGGGUUUGGGGAGGGCAAGGCCCCGCCACGCCCCUCGGCCCCGCUCGUGGGGGCACCCCGACGGGCACGGCCACGGCCUGUCGGUGUCCCCGUCUCUGCCCGUGCCGUGGACGCCCCCACCCCGGCGUAAAGCAGCGCAACCAACCAAACACCACCAAAAAAAAAAAGAAAAAAAAAAAAAAAAAAAGGGCCCCCCCUCCCCCCAGCAGAGAAAAAAAAAAAAAAUCAGAAAUUAAAAAAAAAAAAAAUCAAAAAUAUUAAAUGCAUUCCUGACGCCGCCUGCCAAGAGCGGGGCGGGGACGGCCACGGGGCACGGCCACGGCCCCACCGCCGCCACGGUGGGCCACGGCACCACCACCACGGCCAGGCCACGGCCUCCCUGCAGCACCGUGGCCACGGCACGGCCACGGCACCGCCACGGGGUCCCUGCAGCACCGUGGCCACCGGUGACCGUGCAGCCACGGUGCAGGCCCACGGCCACGCCACGCCGCAGCCACGCAGCCGCCGAGGGGCUGGGGGGGAGCUGCGCCGUGCGUGGCCCCCCCCUCGGUUGGCGGCGCCGUUGUGUCCCCCCCACACACACACACACCCAGCGGGGGUGGGCAGCGGCUGUGCCCCCCCCCCCCGGGGCAGCUCCGCGCUGCAGCCCCGAGCGGUGCAGGAGGGGGGGGGGAUAAAAAGAGGGGAG